Non-coding RNA from Phascolarctos cinereus (koala), 1712 nucleotides. Lineage: Eukaryota; Metazoa; Chordata; Mammalia; Diprotodontia; Phascolarctidae. The record is from RefSeq and is a predicted model, not a curated record.
CAUUAUCCCUUUUAAUAACAAGAAGUCAUUUAAACACAAAGCCCUGUGCUCCUGGCCAAGGUCACAGCAUGUGUUCAUCCACUCUAGGAGAUCUGGGCAGUGGCCUGAGCCCUGACCAAAACCACUCUCUGUAGAACUAGGCUUUUCUUACCGGCCUAUGUACCUCCCUUUCCAUUGCUUUCCAUCCACAUCAUCCCUCUCAUUGUCUAUAGCUACUGUAGGUAACUCCCACAGGUAACAAAGUGUUUUAUGAGAGAGGCAUUCAACAAGAAGAGGACAGGUUCCUCUUCAGCUAUCCCUAAGAACAAAGGCCUUCCAUUGACUUCCUGGAAAAAAUUGGGUUUUUGGGGGGUGCCUUUGGUGGACACAAUCAUAUUUCCCAAAAUCCUGUUGUUGGCCCAAUUCAUUUGGGAUUUUUAUUCUUCUUUCUGGCAGAGAAACAGCUUGCUAAUCAGUGACAGAGUUCAGUUAGCUCUCCCCCCUUCUUCUAUUACCACCCUUCCUCUCCUCUCCCUCCUCCUAUGCCAGCUUUUAUCCUGGAGAAAGAACAAAGGGUAAAGGGUAGGCCUGAAGACAGAUAAGAAUGAACAGGUGAGGGACAGGGUGUUGGUUAAGUGACCUGUGAGGCAGGAAGGGAUGGUUAGGCCUCUGCCAAGCUCUAUUCUUGACGCACCCAGGGAGGGGACCUCAGGUAGGUCACUCCCAGACACUUAGUUCCUUAGUCUCUGUACAAUGGGCACCAGGCUACCUGCCUCAUAGACAAAGUGAGAGGAUGAAUAAGCAGAUGUAUAUGUCAUUCGAAGGGCACUGCUUUCUCCAUUCAUUUGGGGGAUGAUGCACCUCUCUUUUCUCUGUAGUAGAGAGAGACCAUCCAUUUGUCCUUUUCACUGUGAGUGAGAACUUCCCUGUUUUUCUCCCUUCUACCCAAGGAGACUUGAAAACUACAAAAGGUGUGUGUGGUGAAGAUCAAUAGUUUCAAAAUUCAGAAAAAAUGGUAGAGAUAGAGAAAAACGUUUCUCUGCAUAAACACACCACUUUCUCCAUCUGUCUCUAUGGACAGUUGCAUACAGGUGUCAGUAAAUGUCACCAUGCCUGAAUGUUGGGAUUUGUCUAUGCCCAUGUCAGCGACUGUGUGACCAAGUAUUUACCUAUGUUUGCGUUCCUCUGCCAGCCUGAGCCCUGUGUGUAUGAGUUUAGAUGACUUAUCAGAUUCAGCCUUGAACUGCAUUCAGCGUUCCCUCACUGGAGAGCUCUGAGAGGGGCUAUACCAGAAGAGCCUUCCCAUUGCAGAGAAAAUGGGCUUGUCUUGUACCCUGGAAAAGAACACUUUUCCUUUACUCAGCCUUCAGAAUACAAAGGGAAGUGAUAAACAGUGGAUUUUCACUCUACAAGAGGGGCCCAUAGAUUCCAUCAGACUGCCAAAGGAUGCAUGACUCCAAAAAGUUCACUGGAAAGAAUGCUGGAUUUGGAAUGAAAGGACCUGGACUCAAUCCUUGAUUCUGCUACUUACUGUCUGUAUGACUUUGGAUAAGUCAUCUGACCUCUCUGGGUCUCAGUGUCUUUGAAGGCCUUAAUUGGCCUUUCAGCUCUAAAUCAUCAGUGUUCUGAAAAGUGGAAAUAAUAAUAUAUCUGUCUGGAUUAAAUGGAAGACUGUUUGAAGGAUAAGAUGAGACGAUAGGUGUGAAACGGCUUUAUAGGCAAUAAAGAGAUUC